CAGGGGUCCCCCCGCGACGAUAGAUCAUGAACCCCGUCAGGCCCGGAAGGGAGCAGCGGUAGUGAUUGAUUCGUGCACGGGGCAUGGCUCCUGUAA
Molecule: signal recognition particle RNA, 96 nt
Filed under: Legionella israelensis
Lineage: Bacteria; Pseudomonadati; Pseudomonadota; Gammaproteobacteria; Legionellales; Legionellaceae
Also listed under: 1 other name
Description: Bacterial small signal recognition particle RNA
Rfam family: Bacterial small signal recognition particle RNA
About the family: The signal recognition particle (SRP) is a universally conserved ribonucleoprotein involved in the co-translational targeting of proteins to membranes. Archaeal SRP consists of a 7S RNA and homologues of the eukaryotic SRP19 and SRP54 proteins. In most bacteria, the SRP consists of a 4.5S RNA and the Ffh protein (a homologue of the eukaryotic SRP54 protein).
Source: Rfam by way of RNAcentral